GCUACGGGGAUGUGCGAUCUCCCCGAGAGGCGCCAUGCCCAAGAAUCGCGUCCUGAUCUACCAAGGGCGCAGCAUG
Molecule: regulatory RNA element, 76 nt
Organism: Bradyrhizobium japonicum
Lineage: Bacteria; Pseudomonadati; Pseudomonadota; Alphaproteobacteria; Hyphomicrobiales; Nitrobacteraceae
Rfam family: chrB-a RNA
Source: Rfam